UUUUAGUUGCUCCUCUUCAUUUUUUUUCCAUUAUGAAGAAUAAUGAAGUCUAAAAAUCUAAAAAUUGCAAGCAACCAAAGAACGAAAGGUUGAAAGGUUAGACGUGAUGUUUUGGAUGCUCAGUGGGUCCACAAAAUGGCAUUAUCCCCUCGUGCUCUCUGAACACGGCAUCUGCCUGAGAGCUGACCUGCCAAAGGCCACCGUCACAGCUACCACGAAAAGCUAGCUUAGGAAGAUAGCCAACGUGGAAUUUAUGAAAUGUCUCUUUGCCCACCACGUUCUCCCUAGAGAAGAUUAGAGUACAGUCUGAAGACCAGAAUCACCUCUACUGGGGCCUUUCCAGUCUUCUUGCCCUGCACAGGCAGCCAGAGUGGACCAGGAAUGGGGACCGCAGGAGUAAGAACUUCAAAUAAGCAAAUGGAAGAACUCUGAACCUAUCAGGUUGCUAAAACAGUGAAAGGCGCCACCAACAGAGAUGUGUGACAUCUCCAUCCUGGGAGAUCAUCGGAGGCGGUCACUGGUCCUGAGUGGUUUGGACACUCAGCUGCCAGAAGGCAGGGGUCUGGAUGGAAUCACUCCUCUCGGAUUUGAGAAUCGGAUCCUAACUCCCUGAUUUAGAGGGAGAGGGAAACAGGUGGGAUCUUUGCACUGUUAGAGCAAAUACCAAUUAAAACUAACAGGCCCAA
Molecule: long non-coding RNA, 686 nt
Organism: Lynx canadensis (Canada lynx)
Lineage: Eukaryota; Metazoa; Chordata; Mammalia; Carnivora; Felidae
Exons: 2
Source: RefSeq, a predicted model, not a curated record